This 251-nucleotide ribosomal RNA is filed under the name uncultured bacterium. RNAcentral's name for it is "partial 16S ribosomal RNA". It matches the Rfam family "Bacterial small subunit ribosomal RNA", at positions 525 to 775 of the family's 1533-position model. The record is from RNAcentral.
ACGUAGGGAGCGAGCGUUAUCCGGAUUUAUUGGGUGUAAAGGGUGCGUAGACGGGAAGUCAAGUUAGUUGUGAAAUCCCUCGGCUUAACUGAGGAACUGCAACUAAAACUGAUUUUCUUGAGUACUGGAGAGGAAAGUGGAAUUCCUAGUGUAGCGGUGAAAUGCGUAGAUAUUAGGAGGAACACCGGUGGCGAAGGCGACUUUCUGGACAGAAACUGACGUUGAGGCACGAAAGUGUGGGGAGCAAACAG